This 469-nucleotide ribosomal RNA is filed under the name Clostridioides difficile. RNAcentral's name for it is "partial 23S ribosomal RNA". It matches the Rfam family "Bacterial large subunit ribosomal RNA", at positions 2454 to 2925 of the family's 2925-position model. Lineage: Bacteria; Bacillati; Bacillota; Clostridia; Peptostreptococcales; Peptostreptococcaceae. The record is from RNAcentral.
GGAUAAAAGCUACCCUGGGGAUAACAGGCUUAUCUCCCCCAAGAGUCCACAUCGACGGGGAGGUUUGGCACCUCGAUGUCGGCUCAUCACAUCCUGGGGCUGUAGUAGGUCCCAAGGGUUGGGCUGUUCGCCCAUUAAAGUGGUACGCGAGCUGGGUUCAGAACGUCGUGAGACAGUUCGGUCCCUAUCCGUCGCAGGCGUAGGAAAUUUGAGAAGACCUGUCCUUAGUACGAGAGGACCGGGAUGGACGUACCUCUGGUGUACCAGUUGUCCUGCCAAGGGCAUGGCUGGGUAGCUAUGUACGGAAUGGAUAAGCGCUGAAAGCAUCUAAGCGCGAAGCCAACUUCAAGAUAAGAUUUCCCACCGCAAGGGUAAGACCCCAGAAAGACUAUCUGGUUGAUAGGUCGAAGGUGUAAGUGCAGCAAUGUAUUUAGCUUAUCGAUACUAAUAGGUCGAGGACUUGACCAAU